RNAcentral lists this ribosomal RNA (253 nucleotides) under uncultured bacterium. RNAcentral's name for it is "partial 16S ribosomal RNA". It matches the Rfam family "Bacterial small subunit ribosomal RNA", at positions 524 to 776 of the family's 1533-position model. The record is from RNAcentral.
GACGGAAGGUGCAAGCGUUGCUCGGAAUCACUGGGCGUAAAGGGUGCGUAGGCGGCUUGGUGGGUCUGGUGUGAAAGCCCCGGGCUCAGCCCGGGAAGGGCGCUAGAAACUGCCGAGCUCGAGUGCCGGAGGGGAGAGUGGAAUUCCUGGUGUAGCGGUGAAAUGCGCAGAUAUCAGGAGGAACACCUAUUGCGAAGGCAGCUCGCUGGGACGUAACUGACGCUGAGACGCGAAAGCGUGGGGAGCGAACAGG